This 443-nucleotide ribosomal RNA is filed under the name uncultured bacterium. RNAcentral's name for it is "bacterial SSU rRNA". It matches the Rfam family "Bacterial small subunit ribosomal RNA", at positions 355 to 786 of the family's 1533-position model. The record is from RNAcentral.
UGAGGAAUAUUGGUCAAUGGGCGUUAGCCUGAACCAGCCAAGUAGCGUGAAGGAUGAAGGCUCUAUGGGUCGUAAACUUCUUUUAUAUAAGAAUAAAGUGCAGUAUGUAUACUGUUUUGUAUGUAUUAUAUGAAUAAGGAUCGGCUAACUCCGUGCCAGCAGCCGCGGUAAUACGGGAGGAUCCGAGCGUUGUCCGGAUUUAUUGGGUUUAAAGGGAGCGUAGGUGGACUGGUAAGUCAGUUGUGAAAGUUUGCGGCUCAACCGUAAAAUUGCAGUUGAUACUGUCAGUCUUGAGUACAGUAGAGGUGGGCGGAAUUCGUGGUGUAGCGGUGAAAUGCUUAGAUAUCACGAAGAACUCCGAUUGCGAAGGCAGCUCACUGGACUGCAACUGACACUGAUGCUCAGGUGCGAAAGCGUGGGGGAGCAAAGCAGGAUUAGAUACC